RNAcentral lists this transfer RNA (76 nucleotides) under Ectothiorhodospira shaposhnikovii. RNAcentral describes it as "tRNA-Phe". It matches the Rfam family "tRNA". From Rfam's summary of the family: Transfer RNA (tRNA) molecules are approximately 80 nucleotides in length. Their secondary structure includes four short double-helical elements and three loops (D, anti-codon, and T loops). RNAcentral also lists the same sequence under 41 other names. Lineage: Bacteria; Pseudomonadati; Pseudomonadota; Gammaproteobacteria; Chromatiales; Ectothiorhodospiraceae. The record is from RNAcentral.
GGCCAGGUAGCUCAGUUGGUAGAGCAGGGGAUUGAAAAUCCCCGUGUCGGCGGUUCGAUUCCGUCCCUGGCCACCA